Molecule: long non-coding RNA, 1063 nt
Organism: Acanthochromis polyacanthus (spiny chromis)
Lineage: Eukaryota; Metazoa; Chordata; Actinopteri; Pomacentridae
Exons: 2
Source: RefSeq, a predicted model, not a curated record
UCACAUUUUGGACGACAUGCGAAACUAUGACGUUUUUACCCCAUUUUCGGACGAUAUACUAAACUAUGACAUUUUUGUCAAAUUUUGGACCACAUACUAAACUAUGACGUUUUUACCCCAUUUUCGGACGACAUACUAAACUACGACGUUUUUGUCACAUUUUGGACGACAUACGAAACUAUGACGUUUGUUGUCCAUUUUCGGACUACAUACUUUUAAACUAUGACGUUUUUACCCCAUUUUCGGACGACAUACUAAACUAUGACAUUUUUGUCACAUUUUGGAACCCAUAUUAAACUAUGACGAUUUUUGUCCAUUUUCGGACGACAUACUAAACUACGACGUUUUUGUCACAUUUUGGACGACAUACGAAACUAUGACGUUUUUAUCCAUUUUCGGACAACAUACUAAACUAUGACGUUUUUAUCCCAUUUUGGACCACAUACUAAACUAGGACAUUUUUGUCACAUUUUGGACGACAUACGAAACUAUGACGUUUUUACCCCAUUUUCGAGAGACAUACUAAACUAUGACGAUUUUUGUCCAUUUUCGGAUGACAUACUAACUAUAACGUUUUUUUGUCCAUUUUCUGACGAUAUACUAAACUAUGACAUUUUUGUCAAAUUUUGGACCACAUACUAAACUAUGACGUUUUUACCCCAUUUUCGGACGACAUACUAAACUACGACGUUUUUGUCACAUUUUGGACGACAUACGAAACUAUGACGUUUGUUGUCCAUUUUCGGACUACAUACUAAACUAUGACGUUUUUACCCCAUUGUAGACGACAUACUAAACUAUGAUGUUUUUUGUGACAUUUUGGACGACAUACUAAACUAUGAUGUUUUUACCCCAUUUUUGACAAAAUGCAAAACUAUGAUGUUUUAAUGUUCACAGUGGAUGUCAGAGGAGCAAGAGGUCAUGUUGCAAGAAGAGGACGUGGGUGAGCCAGACCACAGCCAGAGCCAGAGCCAGAACCAGAACCUGGACCUUGACCUGCCCAUGUACCUAAAUUUUGAAAACAAAGUUCAAAAUUUGACAAUAAAGUGCGCUUUUGACACAA